Musa acuminata AAA Group (dessert banana) is the source of this 784-nucleotide long non-coding RNA. RefSeq lists it as uncharacterized. Lineage: Eukaryota; Viridiplantae; Streptophyta; Magnoliopsida; Zingiberales; Musaceae. The record is from RefSeq and is a predicted model, not a curated record. The transcript has 2 exons.
UGGCAGAAUUACGUGUUUAUUGUCGUUUAUGAGACACACGGCUCCCUAACUUGAUAUAGGGACUAACUAAUUCGGGAUUUGAGAGCUAGUUACCUUUCCAUACAAGGAGAGUGGGUAGAGCGAACCAAUUAAGUUUAGUCCCUUCGAAUCUAAAUCCACUUUGCCCAUCGAGAAAGGUUGAUCAAAGCAGCAGAGAGAUGAGAAGCGGAUAAGCCAUGCCAUCAAGUAUGCCUCCUCAGAGGCUGCGUUGCAUGGAGGCCUCCCCUCACUGUUGCUCUUUCUUGGGUUCCACUCCACCAAAUCUCUCGCAUCCCGGUUCUAUCGAGCUGGUCGUUUCCUGCCCUCAUGAUUUCUUGGCCUUGCUUGGCGUUCUUGGCUGUUUUGGCAUGGUUUUGAUGUUUUAUGCUUCCGAAUCUGAUUCGCUUCUUCCCGUACUGUUGUGACCUCAAAUUCUAGCAAAGGAUGAAAUGGUGGUCUUGAUCUGAACAAUGCUGAACCCUCUCCCAAGUGAGAAACAAGCAGAUGGAAGAGAUGGCUACUCGGUCACAUCUGGUUGUUUCCUUGAAGGCAAUUCAUUCUUGGCUUAUCGACGAUGAUGGUCUUAUCAUCAUGUAACAUUACAAUGAUGGUGAAAGUCCUGCAUGCUAUGGUGAUUGUGGAUGUUUGUUUACUGACUGAUUGCUGUGCAAAAUGUUGAGUCCAUUAUUUUUCAGAUACGUUUGAUCUCUGUAGAAACAGAUCAUGAAGAUUUCAGUGGGAAUUUCCCGGUGGUAACUUGAUUUUA